RNAcentral lists this ribosomal RNA (493 nucleotides) under uncultured bacterium. RNAcentral's name for it is "partial 16S ribosomal RNA". It matches the Rfam family "Bacterial small subunit ribosomal RNA", at positions 30 to 523 of the family's 1533-position model. The record is from RNAcentral.
AUUGAACGCUGGCGGCAUGCUUUACACAUGCAAGUCGAACGGUAACAGGUUAAGCUGACGAGUGGCGAACGGGUGAGUAAUGCAUCGGAACGUGCCCGAUCGUGGGGGAUAACGCAGCGAAAGCUGCGCUAAUACCGCAUACGAUCUGAGGAUGAAAGCGGGGGACCGUAAGGCCUCGCGCGAUCGGAGCGGCCGAUGUCAGAUUAGGUAGUUGGUGGGGUAAAGGCCCACCAAGCCGACGAUCUGUAGCUGGUCUGAGAGGACGACCAGCCCAACUGGGACUGACACACGGCCCGGACUCCUACGGGAGGCAGCAAUGGGGAAUUUUGGACAAUGGGCGAAAGCCUGUUCCAGCAAUGCCGCGUGCAGGAAGAAGGCCUUCGGGUUGUAAACUGCUUUUGUACGGAGCGAAAAGGUCCUUUCUAAUACAAGGGGCUCAUGACGGUACCGUAAGAAUAAGCACCGGCUAACUACGUGCCAGCCGCCGCAGUAA